This is a non-coding RNA of Microcebus murinus (gray mouse lemur), 3285 nucleotides long. The record is from RefSeq and is a predicted model, not a curated record. NCBI's taxonomy places the organism in Eukaryota, Metazoa, Chordata, Mammalia, Primates, Cheirogaleidae.
UCAUUGCAUGGACGAAAAGCCUCAGAGCUGAGGACUCAGCGGCCACCCCAAGCCCCUAAGCAUCCCCGACAAGAAGUGCCCCCAUGCCAAGGGUGCAGAGCCCCCAGGUGGGAAGGUCUGCCUAGAGUGGAGCUGCAGUCCGGCUCCGUGUUUUAGUCCCCCUGUGGCCCAGGGCAGCCCCCUGAGGGUGGUAGAUGGCACUGUUGUCACCCUGUGUUUUCUCCACUCCAGAACUCAAGCUCCCAUUCCCUUGACCUGGUUGACCUUGACUUGUGACCUGGUUUCAAGUCCUUUUACCAUGCUUGGGUCUCUCUGUGGAAUGUGAACCAGCUGGUAAGGGAGCCAGUGAUGCCAGCAAUGGGCUGAGCAGGCAGCGGAAGCCCUCCCCAGACACCCCCAGGGCAGCCUGUGUUCCGAACUGCUGUGGGACCCUGGAGCCCACUGGUACCUUUCGUCAACUUACGACCUUGGUCUGCCCUACACGCUGCUCUGGCUCUUUCCCACCCUGGGCCUGAAAGCUGGUUUGUCUUCUCUUUUUUAAGGUAAGUGGUAAGUGGUAUUUCAUUCUACUGCAAGGGAUUUGUUGACUCGAAUGCACUGACUCUGCAGGCUGGCCAUAGGCAGAAGACAAAAUCCCUAGGGCUAGUGGGGAAGCAGACCGAAUGCAGGUCUGAGGCCGCUCUCCUCAAAGCCACCUUCUGGGAGGGGCGCUGGACCCGCAGGCACAGACCUGGGGCCACAGCCAUGCUCCAGGUGUGUGAUCUUGAGCAAACCACACAGAACUGCAACCUCCUAACAGGAAACCACUCAGCCCCUUCCCUGGGCUGGUUAUAAUUAGCAAACGAGGGCAGGGACAUCAUUCACGUUCACUGGCCAAGAACCUAUGGAUCCUGGCAAAUCAACAAGCCAGGCAAAGUUCUAGAAGGAGAGGACACAGCACACAGCCUCAUGAAGGAAGCAGUUAUGCCCACACGUGGCUGGUGCAGGCAUGGAGCAUGCCCAGGGAGAGCAGCAAACAGCUGGCCAGAGUCUCCCUGCCCAGGGUAGGGUGGCCUAAGCCCCUGCCUCUCCUUGCCCUGCUCGUGAGCACAGGCCUGGCACAGAAAAGACACCGCACAGAUGUUUGUUGAAUGACUGAACAACCAGCCCAUCACACUCUCUAAUUACAUCCCCUCUGCCACAGCUCAGAUUGGAAGACACCUGAGCAAGAAGUUGCUGGGAUCUGGAGUCCAUUCUUCCUGCAGCGGGAGGAGCGUGGGUUUAAGCGUGCAGGAGCUGGCGCUCCCACACCAGCAGCCGCCUAGGAAGGGCCAGGGCUGGCCCACGGGCCCUUGUGCUGCUGUUUGGACACCUGUGACUCUCCUGUGGCUCCCAGACACACAGGCCUCUGCAAUUCCAGGAAUUUGUGGCGAGUUGGUUGGCACAUAGCAGGUGAGUGAGAAGCCCAAGCCCAGCCUUCCCGGGGCCUACGACCUGGCAGAGAGAGUGAGUCUGCACACGGUAUCGUGUGUGUGCUCAGGACCUCGGGAGAAGUGUGGGCUCAGGAUCAAGUAGUGGGGAGCCCUGCCGAGCCUGGGGUCUGGGAGGCUAUGAUAAGUGCAGGCGGGCAGGAGCUGGGGAGGCAGAGGGGCCCGUACGUGCCCUGGGCAGCAAUGAGAGGAGCACCUUGGCCAGGAGGGCUGGGGCCCCGGGACAGCACCAGCCUGGCCCUGUUGGGGAAGGCGAGGCACGGGUAUGCACUAGUUUCUGGCAGGUAUAUUUCUCCCCUCAUUCCACACUGACGUGUAAGCUUGAUGCUGUUUGUAUUAACAGUUAAGGUCUAAAUUUAGCAGUGUCAGUAGGAGUCUAUUUUUACAGGAAAAGAUUAACACAGAGGACAAGAGAACUGCCACCUUAAGUGGAAGCAGGUGUUGUGCAGCCACGCCAGGCUUUGAGAUACCUGCUCAGGACAAGAGCCAGAGGUUCCAAAGCGCCCCAUGGCUUACCUGUAGCUCCUGCUGGAAUGGAUGGACUCAAGGGAAAUCUUUACGAACAGAAAUAAUUUGAAAAUAAAAGCCGCCCUGGGGUUCCCCAGACUUUCUGUACCAUAAGUACACCUUCUACCCCCUCAAAUCCUUUGAUGAGGCCCUGGUUUGUCUGAGCUUCCUGGGGCUCCUAGGCAGGUGAGGUGGCUCCGCUGAGCUUUGCCAGGGCUCUAGGCAUCUCUUCCACAGCACUUCUGGGGCGAGACUUGCUUUUCUGCCUGCUUCUCUGUUAGGAUGGAGCGGUGUCUGGCGGGGGAGCACUCCGUGAGCGCAGACCUGUUGCCAGGACUCCGGUGCGCAGCAGCAAGCCCCACAGAGGCCCUCCUGCCCUUCCUAUAAAUCGCCCAGUGAAGUGCCUAUCACAUGUAUGGCCAGACCAGUUACUGCAGCCAUGCCUCCCUGGUCUGGAACAACACUAAGAACCUGGAUUCGCUCAGAAAACGGAAGACUGAAUAGCUCCAAGUGAUGCCCUAUAGUCAGUCCACACUUUCCCCACAGGUACGAAACCCCCUUUUCUUUCUUUUUUUCCCCCAGCUGUCCACAGUACUUGUUAAUUGUUUUAUUUACCCAGAGAAGCUAUUCCUCAGCCCAGUGUUUGUGGCUCAGGAACACAGGUCAGUGGCAAACUUCCAAGUAAUUAAACCCAAAGGAAUUUCUUUGUAUCCCCAAAUCACUGUGCACUCUGUAAGACACCAGCCUUCCUCCUCUCUCCAGCAUCUUUCAUGGAACUGUAAUUCCUGUAGAAAUCCACAUCUGCCCCCUUUCUUGGUUGUAUCCCUGGGGGUUGCAUCUCUCCAUAAGUUUGCUGUGGCUGAACCAACACUCCAACCACAUGAAACCACAGACACCGAACCGCCAUGCGCCUGAGGUUUCGUCAAAGUGCCAGGAGCCAUGGUCGUUAUUGUCCUUGAGAGGUAUCUCAACAUGUCCUUCCUGGCUGGGGGAGACGUGAACUGCCAGAAUCCCCUUUUCAUAUGCUCUAAAACCUCACUUGUAUUUUCUGGCCUCAGUGGUCACCUCUACCUGGUACCCCGAGUCCACACACGCAGAGCCUCAGCACUCCCCAAAGGUAUGCUUCCGUGGAGAGCGCUCACUGCUCACGACAUCUGAGUGAGCUGCCGCCAAGAAUGGAGCUGGUCUGAUGUUGGUGGGGGCCUCCUUCAGCACCUCAUCUCAGAAGGGCAAGUUCGCCUGGCUAGUCCCUUGGCCCAGAACCCUGGGGGGGGGGUCAUCCUUGACACCAGCUUCUUGUCACAGUAAC